UACGGAGGAUGCGAGCGUUAUCCGGAUUUACUGGGUGUAAAGGGAGCGCAGACGGAACUGCAAGUCUGAUGUGAAAGCCCGGGGCUCAACCGCGGGACUGCAUCGGAUACUGUAGAUCUGGAGUGCCGGAGGGGCAAGCGGAAUUCCUGGUGUAGCGGUGAAAUGCGUAGAUAUCAGGAGGAACACCGGCGGCGAAGGCGGCUUGCUGGACGGCAACUGACGUUGAGGCUCGAAAGCGUGGGUAGCAAACAGGAUUAGA
Molecule: ribosomal RNA, 259 nt
Filed under: uncultured prokaryote
Description: partial 16S ribosomal RNA
Rfam family: Bacterial small subunit ribosomal RNA
Source: RNAcentral